RNAcentral lists this long non-coding RNA (215 nucleotides) under Elaeis guineensis (African oil palm). Its description in RNAcentral is "long non-coding RNA (EGUI_LNC007565)". Lineage: Eukaryota; Viridiplantae; Streptophyta; Magnoliopsida; Arecales; Arecaceae. The record is from RNAcentral.
GAUACAAGACUAAGUAUACAUGUGCAUGGAUCCUCGUAUAUAAUAAGUCAAUAGCUAAGAUUAUUUUAGUUUUCCAUUCAAAUUUUUUUAUAAAUAUACAGGUGUUACAUUGCUUAAUUUGCACCCAAGAGGAGGUACCAUGAUUCACUAGGACGUAAUGAGGGACAUCAGAGAGAGAAAUUGGGUGAAGUCAGAUAUUUGAAAUAGAAUAUCUA